Molecule: ribosomal RNA, 253 nt
Filed under: uncultured bacterium
Lineage: Bacteria
Description: partial 16S ribosomal RNA
Rfam family: Bacterial small subunit ribosomal RNA
Source: RNAcentral
UACGUAGGGGCCGAGCGUUGUCCGGAGUUAUUGGGCGUAAAGCGCGCGCAGGCGGCUUGACGCGCCCGACGUGAAAGCCCCCGGCUUAACCGGGGAGGGUCGUCGGGUACGGUCAGGCUUGAGGGCGGGAGAGGGUGGUGGAAUUCCCGGUGUAGUGGUGAAAUGCGUAGAGAUCGGGAGGAACACCUGUGGCGAAGGCGGCCACCUGGGCCGACCCUGAUGCUGAGGCGCGAAGGCGUGGGGAGCGAACGGG